Molecule: ribosomal RNA, 243 nt
Filed under: uncultured bacterium
Lineage: Bacteria
Description: partial 16S ribosomal RNA
Rfam family: Bacterial small subunit ribosomal RNA
Source: RNAcentral
UACGGAGGGUGCAAGCGUUAUCCGGAUUUACUGGGUUUAAAGGGUGCGUAGGUGGGUAGGUAAGUCAGUGGUGAAAUCUUCAAGCUUAACUUGGAAACUGCCAUUGAUACUAUUUAUCUUGAAUACUUUGGAGGUAAGCGGAAUAUGUCAUGUAGCGGUGAAAUGCUUAGAUAUGACAUAGAACACCAAUUGCGAAGGCAGCUUACUACGGAUACAUUUGACACUGAGGCACGAAAGCGUGGG